Molecule: ribosomal RNA, 435 nt
Filed under: uncultured bacterium
Lineage: Bacteria
Description: partial 16S ribosomal RNA
Rfam family: Bacterial small subunit ribosomal RNA
Source: RNAcentral
GAUGAACGCUGGCGGUAUGCUUAACACAUGCAAGUCGAACGGACUCUUCGGAGUUAGUGGCGGACGGGUGAGUAACGCGUGAGAAUCUGGCUUUGGGUUCGGGACAACCACUGGAAACGGUGGCUAAUACCGGAUGUGCCGAGAGGUAAAAGAGAAAUUGCCUGAAGAUGAGCUCGCGUCUGAUUAGCUAGUUGGUGAGGUAAAGGCUCACCAAGGCAGCGAUCAGUAGCUGGUCUGAGAGGAUGACCAGCCACACUGGGACUGAGUCACGGCCCAGACUCCUACGGGAGGCAGCAGUGGGGAAUUUUCCGCAAUGGGCGAAAGCCUGACGGAGCAAUACCGCGUGAGGGAAGAAGGCUCUUGGGUUGUAAACCUCUUUUCUUAGGGAAGAACAAAAUGACGGUACCUAAGGAAUCAGCAUCGGCUAACUCCGUG